RNAcentral lists this non-coding RNA (55 nucleotides) under Trypanosoma brucei brucei. Lineage: Eukaryota; Euglenozoa; Kinetoplastea; Trypanosomatida; Trypanosomatidae. The record is from RNAcentral.
UAUAAAAUAACAUGAUGAUGGUCUCGAUAGUAAUAUGAUGAUAUAAUUAAUUAAU